Molecule: long non-coding RNA, 617 nt
Organism: Lagenorhynchus albirostris (white-beaked dolphin)
Lineage: Eukaryota; Metazoa; Chordata; Mammalia; Artiodactyla; Delphinidae
Exons: 4
Source: RefSeq, a predicted model, not a curated record
UUGCCAGACUAAAUUCCCAUGUCUGCUAUAUUGCUGCCCAUCUUGGACAUCUCUCCAAAUUCUUCCUGAAGAUUUAUCCCAAGCACCCUAAGUUGACUUCUUUUUAUUCUUGUACCCACACCAUCUUCAUCUUUGGAGGCCAGUUAAGAUCAAAGACUUUGGAACCAGACCCCCUGAAUUCAAAUCCUAACCAGUUGUUUGAACUUAGGGCCCCAGAUGUUGUAAAACGCAGCCGUGGUUAAGAACUACUGCUUCAGAGCAGUGCUACUCAAAUUGGAGUGCGUCAGCAUCACUUCGGAGCUUGCUCAGACACAGCUGUCUGGACCCCACCCCCAGAGUUUCCCAUUGGUCACAUUGCUCCCUGUCUUCCUCCCGUGAAAUUCAGAGAAGUGAAGUAAGGAGAAAGGUCUCAUCCAUCCCUUCUGUAUAGUAAAUUCUAAUCUGUUUUCAAAAUAAAUACUCAACUGACAAAUAUUAAGAGGAAGUGAGGAAUGAAAAAGAAUCCAGCUAAUCCUGAUUGCGUAUUUAAUGCUUAUUUGAGAACUAUAUCUUUCUCCACAUCUCUACCCCCUCAUCAAUAUGUUAUCUGCCAUCUGCAAAAACAAAGGUAACAGAUA